AUACGUAGGGUGCAAGCGUUAAUCGGAAUUACUGGGCGUAAAGCGUGCGCAGGCGGUUUUGUAAGACAGAGGUGAAAGCCCCGGGCUCAACCUGGGAACUGCCUUUGUGACUGCAAGGCUAGAGUACGGCAGAGGGGGAUGGAAUUCCGCGUGUAGCCGUGAAAUGCGUAGAUAUGCGGAGGAACACCGAUGGCGAAGGCAAUCCCCUGGGCCUGUACUGACGCUCAUGCACGAAAGCGUGGGGAGCAAACAGGAUUAGAUACCCUGGUAGUCCACGCCCUAAACGAUGUCAACUGGUUGUUGGGUCUUCAUUGACUCAGUAACGAAGCUAACGCGUGAAGUUGACCGCCUGGGGAGUACGGCCGCAAGGUUGAAACUCUCGAGCAAAC
RNAcentral lists this ribosomal RNA (389 nucleotides) under uncultured bacterium. Its description in RNAcentral is "partial 16S ribosomal RNA". It matches the Rfam family "Bacterial small subunit ribosomal RNA", at positions 523 to 911 of the family's 1533-position model. The record is from RNAcentral.